UGAGUAACCUGCCCUUCACUCUGGGAUAACUCCGGGAAACCGGGGCUAAUACUGGAUAUGACUCGAACAGGCAUCUGUUUCGGGUGGAAAGAUUUAUUGGUGGAGGAUGGACUCGCGGCCUAUCAGCUUGUUGGUGAGGUAAUGGCUCACCAAGGCGACGACGGGUAGCCGGCCUGAGAGGGCGAUCGGCCACACUGGGACUGAGACACGGCCCAGACUCUACGGAGCA
This 229-nucleotide ribosomal RNA is filed under the name uncultured bacterium. Its description in RNAcentral is "partial 16S ribosomal RNA". It matches the Rfam family "Bacterial small subunit ribosomal RNA", at positions 118 to 347 of the family's 1533-position model. The record is from RNAcentral.